Molecule: long non-coding RNA, 2055 nt
Organism: Podarcis raffonei (Aeolian wall lizard)
Lineage: Eukaryota; Metazoa; Chordata; Lepidosauria; Squamata; Lacertidae
Exons: 2
Source: RefSeq, a predicted model, not a curated record
CCCGAGGCGCGAGAGACGCGCAAAACUCUGCAGCCAAUCAAAGGGAAGAAUCAGUUUCGCGCCUCGGGCGCCUCCGGCUACCCCCCUCGCCUGCCCCCAGCGCGAGGGCGUCAGUAAGGCCCAUCCGCUCGCGCCCAACGGCCACCCGCGGCCGUCCCAACCACUCUGGGCGAUAGGAGGGGAGAUAAAUAGAGAGGAGAUCGAGCCUGCACCGUGCGGAGCAAUGCCUAAGUGGCCACCCUAAUAAGGGGGCGUAGUCUCAUCCCCCUCCCCAUGUGAUAUUUAGGAGCACCUAUACCUGUCGGCAGCGCACUAGUCAUGCACACUGACUAAUGUUCUAGGUAACUGAAUGAGCUCACAUACUCAGUACACUUGUCAGAGGCACAUAGCCUAGAACUGCAACUCCCACCAGCCCCAGCCAGCAUGUCCAGUUGUCAGGGAUUAUAUCUGAAGGGUGCCACACUGGCAAUCCCAAAGAGAACCUGCAACUAAUGCUUUUAAAAAGGGAAAGGAAAUUUCUUCCUUUGCAAGUAACAAUUGAAGAGCAGGCCUUUAAAUGUUGCUGUGAAUCUUGGGACUCCAGUGGUGAGGGGAAUAGUGCUGUGUGUAUGUGCGUGUGCUAAAGCAGCACUUUACACAUCUCUGGUUUUGCUCAGAACUGGAAGCAGAGGAUGCUCCUUUGCCCAUCCUUUUCUGCUGCAAGCGGUAUCACCAGGAUUCAGGAAAGCAACACCCCAGGCCACCACAUUCGUGUGAACAGUUAUCUCUGGUUUAGCAAACGCAGCUAUGAGUUACGUAGGCUGUCACAGAUGUUGCUGCUAUCGUGCAGAAAAACUUGAGGGUUGCGUUAAUCAUUCUGGCAUAACUGCUUCCCUUUGGUCCAGACCAUCUUCAAGGGUAACUCCAUAUAAUGUGCAUUAGAGUAAACUGGGAGGUUGUCAGGGCAUGGAUUACUGUGGCUGGGCUAUCCUGGUCCAGGAGUAGCUAGUGAACCAGCUAGAGCUGGAGGUAAGUACUUCUAGCCACUUGAACUUCUAUCGACAACACUGGAUUCAGGAUUACCACCAAGCUACGCACGUCCUGCUUCAAGGCCAUUGCAACCCUAUCACAAAGAGGUGGCCCACUCCCAGUUCCCAAACAGAAGACACACCCACCCUUCCACCUUGUUCCAUUCAGUUUCUGUUGGUCCUGCUAAAAAUCAACCAGCUGUGGCAUGUCUGCUGAAGCCCAGCUGAAAUGGGUCAAGCCAAUGUUUCCUCCAUGCACAUCUCAAGUUGGACAACCACCACCCUUUCAUGACCAUUGCACCUGAAAGGAAUAUUUGUGAAAUGGGUGGUAGCUGUCUCACACUGGAUCUGGGAAGGGCUUCUUAAGAAGCAGCUGCAUCACCUCAUCCAUGACAACCUAUACCACAUAUUUCUCCCCCAAAGAAGCAUAAACCAUUCUCCAUAUCCACUCAGUCAGCUUCUUCCCACUAACAUAGAAGUCAGUGCUCCAAUGCAGAAUAAAUGAAGUCACAUAUGGAGAGGAAUUUGGGCUGUUGGGAGUUCCAUUAUCCCUCUUCUGUUUGCACUGGGAACCGUUGCAUUUCUAACAGCAGCUAGGAACAUCCAUCUAUGCUUGCAAAAUGUAAGCUGAAUUUACCAGCAUUUAAUAACGUAUUUCUGUCUUGGUAUCAGAUGAUAUGUGUGUCAGUGAUUUCUUGGGUCUACCAUCUGCUCACAUGCUUUUAUCAAUUAGAGAGCACUAAGCAGAAAACAAACACCUUGGCAAGGAUACGGAUUUGAUAUUAAAAACCGCUUCUUUUUCUGUACUGGGAAUUGUAUAUAAUGAAACCCCAGCAUGAGUUCUAGCAGAAUCCUGGCCUUGAAUUUGUAAGUGGAGUGGGUGGGUGGGGUAAAUAUUUCCUGAAAGAAAUGGUAUGUCUGAUCCUGCAGGUCCUUAAAUGAAUAAUUGCACAAUGAAAAAUUUAACUUUACUGGGACUAUUCAUGUACGUAAUGGCUAUUUGUAUGAAGGAAGUUCUGGAGUUUGAGCAUUAAAAUUGUAUAAUCCA